UACGUAGGGUGCAAGCGUUGUCCGGAAUUAUUGGGCGUAAAGAGCUCGUAGGCGGUCUGUCACGUCGGCUGUGAAAACCCGAGGCUCAACCUCGGGCCUGCAGUCGAUACGGGCAGACUAGAGUUCGGUAGGGGAGACUGGAAUUCCUGGUGUAGCGGUGAAAUGCGCAGAUAUCAGGAGGAACACCGGUGGCGAAGGCGGGUCUCUGGGCCGAAACUGACGCUGAGACGCGAAAGCGUGGGGAGCGAACAGG
RNAcentral lists this ribosomal RNA (253 nucleotides) under uncultured bacterium. Its description in RNAcentral is "partial 16S ribosomal RNA". It matches the Rfam family "Bacterial small subunit ribosomal RNA", at positions 524 to 776 of the family's 1533-position model. The record is from RNAcentral.